CCUACGGGAGGCAGCAGUGGGGAAUAUUGGACAAUGGGGGGAACCCUGAUCCAGCGACGCCGCGUGAGUGAAGAAGUAUUUCGGUAUGUUAAGCUCUAUCAGCAGGGAAGCAAGAAAUGACGGUACCUGACUAAGAAGCCCCGGCUAACUACGUGCCAGCAGCAGCGGUAAUACGUAGGGGGCAAGCGUUAUCCGGAUUUACUGGGUGUAAAGGGAGUGUAGGCGGCGAUGCAAGUCUGAAGUGAAAGGGGGGGGCCCAACCCCUGGACGGCUUUGGAAACUGGAUGUCUUGAGUGCAGGAGAGGUAAGUGGAAUGCCUGGUGUAGCGGUGAAAUGCGUAGAUAUUAGGAGGAACACCAGUGGCGAAGGCAGCUUACUGGACUGUAACUGACGUUGAGGCUCGAAAGCGUGGGGAGCAAACAGGAUUAGAUACCCCAGUAGUC
Molecule: ribosomal RNA, 443 nt
Filed under: uncultured bacterium
Lineage: Bacteria
Description: partial 16S ribosomal RNA
Rfam family: Bacterial small subunit ribosomal RNA
Source: RNAcentral